AUUGAACGCUGGCGGCGUGCCUAACACAUGCAAGUCGAGCGGUAACAGGCGUAGCAAUACGUGCUGACGAGCGGCGAACGGGUGCGUAAUACAUGGGAAUCUGCCCUCUGGUGGGGAAUAACCCGGCGAAAGCCGGGCUAAUGCCGCAUAAGAUCCUCGGAUGAAAGCGGGGGACCGUAAGGCCUCGCGCCGUUGGAUGAGCCCAUGUCGGAUUAGCUAGUUGGUGGGGUAACGGCCCACCAAGGCUACGAUCCGUAGCUGGUCUGAGAGGACGGCCAGCCACACUGGGACUGAGACACGGCCCAGACUCCUACGGGAGGCAGCAGUGGGGAAUAUUGGACAAUGGGCGAAAGCCUGAUCCAGCGACGCCGCGUGUGUGAAGAAGGCCUGCGGGUUGUAAAGCACUUUCGAUGGGAACGAAAUGUGCCGGGCUAAUACCCCGGCAAGCUGACGUUACUCAAUGAAGAAGCACCGGCUAACUCUGUGCCAGCACG
RNAcentral lists this ribosomal RNA (494 nucleotides) under uncultured bacterium. RNAcentral describes it as "bacterial SSU rRNA". It matches the Rfam family "Bacterial small subunit ribosomal RNA", at positions 29 to 515 of the family's 1533-position model. The record is from RNAcentral.